Hippocampus comes (tiger tail seahorse) is the source of this 1242-nucleotide long non-coding RNA. RefSeq lists it as uncharacterized. The record is from RefSeq and is a predicted model, not a curated record. NCBI's taxonomy places the organism in Eukaryota, Metazoa, Chordata, Actinopteri, Syngnathiformes, Syngnathidae. The transcript has 2 exons.
UCCAGCGGUGUUAUGUAAGUGUGAGUUUGUUGUGAAUAUGAUCAACUAUACAAUAGUAGUUGGCAUCAUGGUAAAAUCAAAUGUUUAAAAAAAAACAGCAGGAUGUGGCAUUUUUGUCUGCUGAUUGGAAGCACAAUCUGUAAUCUUUUACAAACUGCUAAGUUCUAUACCAUAUGAAAGCACAGUUCACUUUUGUUUUCUUGAUAUAACAUUUAUUCCCCCUCCCCCUCUCAGAUUAUGGCUGCUGUGACAGUAGCUGACGCAAGUUAUUGGUCAAAAGUCUACCAUGAUUCAUCUCAGUUGCCUGUUCCUCGAAGUGCCAGUUCCAGUGAUGAGUCUGACAAUCAUGAAAGCCAAAAUGCACGUAAUGGAAAUGAGCUUCAGGGUAUUAGUUUGGGGGAUGUUCCUUUUUGGGACCCUAGUGUCCUUGAGGAACAAUGGCAAGAUUCUCUAAGUUCUGGUGCCAGAGAUCAACUCAACAAGCCAUUCUUUAGUAAAGUGUCUCAUCUAGAGCCAGUCUACUCCUUUGACUCUGAAGCAAGAUACAAACGAGGGCGAGUUGUGUUUGCUCAAACUCCUUACAUACCUGGUGAGCCCUGUUAUCCCUUUUGGCCAGUCUACUGGCGUUUUGCCAAAAACUAGAGACCUGCUAAAACCACCAAGCCCUGGUAGCUUUUGAAAACUUCAUGCUGGUAAGACUUAAACUCUCUGCUCAAUGCUUUGUCAGUCCGAAUUUUUUGUUUUAAAAAGGAAUUCUUUCUCCCCCCAAAGGACUGACUGCAGCGUUUGUCUCCUUGGAAGCAAUUAUUGGAAUUACAAAACAGUUAAUACAAUUAUAUAAAGCCUAGUACUGUUAAAAUGCGACCCGCAUAUGGAGUUGGCUUGUGUGCUUACUUUUCAUUGCGUGUAGUGUACUCUAACAAGGGGUUGUGUGUGUAUCACUCCUGAAAGUAAAGGGGCUAGCGUGCUAACCACACAGACUACUAGGUGCCAGAAAUGCAAAAGGAGAACUUGCUGGAUAAGUACGUUGCUGCGAUUAGCUUUUGACCACACUCUCUUGAUUUGCCACAUGAUUUGAGGUGUCUAUUUAUGCACCUUGAUCCCAUCUCUGCUUUUUAAAAUUAUACUUGAUUAUUGCUGUGAGGGGACUAAAUUGUGGUUAUUUUGUCACUGUUGACAAACUUUCAGAAAUGCUGGAUUAAUCUGUUGUGAAAUGCACUAUAUAAAGUUGUGUUGUAUCGA